GAAUUUGGCAACACCUCAGCAGUGAGCUACUGUUUAUAAGAAGAGAUCCCAGCAGCUAAAAGAAGCCAGUCAUUGGGAUGACUCACUACUUGCCUUGUGAACUGCUCAAGGGAAUUUCUUGAAGAACUAUGUCAAAAUCAGCUCUAGAAACCAUUAAUUUGAGAUCUUUCAUUGACACAUAACAAGUGCUCCCAGAUUAUUGUUGGUUAAGUUCGUGGGCUUGGAAGGAAGAUUCUUUUUGUCUGUACUGAGUGAAAAUUUUCCCCUUUUGUGCAAGGCAACAAGAAGAUAAAAAGGGCUUUUUUCCUCUCUGCAAGAAGAAAUCUGACGCAGUGUGAACCCAAUCAUCAAGGCACCAUGAACGCCUGCAGGAGGAUACAUUCUCUCCGUGCUCACAGGCAGAAAACCAACGGGAACAAAAGUGAGAACUGGCACAGCACCUCUGGGUUCAAGCACCAGCAAGGAGAUGAUCUUGUUACAGUCCAUACCCUUUACACAGUGAUCAUUGUGAUCCUUCUAAUGGCACUUUGGGGAGCCUGGUCACGAAAGAAUUCAUCCUUAUAGAAGCAAUUUAGCAGCUUUCUUUGUCAAGUAUUUAAAUAAGUACUUGUGUUGAUUACUCAUACCCAAGAAGUACAAAUAAUGGUCUCCGCGUAUUUCAAUUUACUUGAAACUGCUUAAAUGGUUGCUACUUGUGGAAGUGAAUUUAACAGACCAUGAUUUGUGAAUGACAGAUACCUGUUUGACCUCUACAUGUGUAUAUUACCCUCAGCACGUAUAUGAAACUUUGAAGCACAAUAUUCUAGAAAGAAGAGUUCAGCUUCUGUUUUAUUGGUCAACAUUUUGUAUGUCCACCCCAGCUUUCCAUUUUCGAGCUUAAACUGUGGAGUCUCUACCUCUGCCAAGAUUGCCUGUCCCAAUCCAUGGUAAAACAUACACCACAAGCAGGAAAAUAAUCUGCCAUGUCAUGACAAUAUAAGAAAAAAAAAUCAAUAAAACCAGCUGUCCUGCAGGCA
This 1016-nucleotide long non-coding RNA is filed under the name Lepidothrix coronata (blue-crowned manakin). RNAcentral describes it as "lncRNA (ENSLCOG00000008552.1)". The record is from RNAcentral. Lineage: Eukaryota; Metazoa; Chordata; Aves; Passeriformes; Pipridae.